CACGCGCGCCUUCCUUCUUUCCCUUUUUUUCUUUCUGCACCCUUUCCUUUUCUGUCCCAGCCUCCGGUUUCCUCUAGCCAAAAUAUCUUCCCCAAUCUAGACGGUCUCUUCCCUUUUCCCAUUCGUUUCAAUUUUUUUGGAUCGUCCUCGUGCUUUUUUGCUUCCUGGACUCCGCCGCUCUCCUCCAUCCCCGAUUCUUUCUAGUGGUCGUACAGAUCCUCGCCGGCGUUGUGAUGUCAGAAGCUGCCUUCCUCCAUCCGCGAGAUUCCUCGACGGCCCAGGUGAGGGCGGGGGUUUGGGAUUUUUUCUGCUGCUGGGCACCGGAAUCAGCGAGGGCCCUCGUCGUGGUGGUAACCCCACUCAGUCGAGUCGACGCCGUGGGGUGGUGGUCGCCCCAUUCAGGGGAUUCGUUGGUGCGGGUGGCUGCUGACUUCCGAGAGCGGCGUGAAUCCUCGUAGUCGCCGCGUCGGGGCUUCUAGGCUGCUGGAUUCGCAGAGCGUCUCCUCACCGGAUUUGCUCGGGCCCGGCCAUCCCACGGUAGGGGUAACACACUUGGAACCCUCCCUUUCAUGUAGUUGCCGCGUCCUUGGUAUUUAAUACGGCUGCGCUGUUCCUAUGCGCGCAAGACGCGAGAUUGAGGUGGCAGCGUGGAGACCCAGGUGUCGGAGGAGACCAGAUGGGGAGUGUGUGUCUGCUGUUAUUUUGCGGUAAAGCAUCAGUAGGUGGCCACUCCUUUUUCUAUCCCUGUUUACCUGUGAUAUGGAUAUGACUGACCUCUAAAUAAAUCCGGCUAUGCAUUUUCAAUACUGUUGCAAGUGCUUAUGGUGGUUACUGUAGAGAAAUGGUUCCCCAUGUUUUUCUUCCCAUUAUGACCGCAUUUUUCUUUCAUGGGUCUGAUGUAGCCAUUGUAAGCUCCUUAAAAACAUUUAGGUCACUAGCUAGGCAGUUUCCAUGGCAAUGUUCCAUCCUUCUCAAUGCCCAUAUCAUGGGUUGCAGCAACCACCACCUGAAUACCUGAUAGGUUCGUUGGGGCUUCAGGUUCUCUGAAUAUCACUAUUGUAUGAAUUGCCAUUGGUGACAUUUUUGCAAACAUGGCCAUCGCUUGAGAUUGAUGAAAGCGGAGAAUCUUUAGUUUGUUGCUGCUUCAACAUAUUUUAAUUGUUUGCAAAGGGGUUAUGCUAUUCUCAGUGCAAACCUGGGCGACGUGAAUAGGAGGAAGAAAUUUAUAAGAACCAUUCAUUCCGCAAUGCAGGCAUCUUCACCGUAUAGUUCCAUAUGUUUAUCUUUCCAUUUGCUCAGCUAAAAUGUUAAAAACUUGCACCUAAGAAAACAGAAUGGUUACAUGAUUUGGGUGAUGAUUGAUGUAUACUUUUUACAAUGGGAUGUACCACUGCUUUCUUUGUUAGCAAUGGCUGCAAGGACAAGAUGAAACAAAUUGGCAAUAUGAUUAAAGGGCAAAAAGGUUACACAUAAACUCCACUGAGAUCAAACUAGGACCCUCAAGUACCAUGGAUUGUGAAACAUAGUCAGGUUGCAUAUCUGCUAUUGGCUAUUGCACUCACAAAAUGACUGUGAUUGGGCCUGGCCCCUACCCCCCAUUCACAAAAUUGCAUAUCUGCUUAUUUUUGUGCACCAUGUAGCCACUUGAUUUCUGCGAAACACAUUAGCACACUCCAAAUAUUGUAUCCAGCCAAAGUGUAAAGUUGCCGAAGUUUUGUCAAGGCAUAUUAUAUCUUAUUGUAUGAGGCAACCGUCUCUAUUUUGUCAAGGCAUGCAGGUAACCUUUGUAAUUUUUAGUUUUGUUUCUGUGCAGAAUGAGCCUUCCAACACAAAUUAGAUUGGUUUUCAGUUACGAUACAUGAUUCCGGAUGUAUGGUGUAGAAUGAUACAAAUUUAUUACCUGUUUUUGUUGUGAUGCAACAUAUUAUAUAAGCAUUAUAACAUUGUUUGUCAUCAAAAACAGGGGUGUUGUUUCAAUCAAAACAACAUGGUGCAUGUAAGAUUUACGGGGGCAUCUAGCAGUGGUGACCAAAAAUCAUCAGAAGGGAGAGUAUUGCAGAGAUCAUCGAUGAUAAGCCCGACAUGCCUACAUGUAACACUAUCUUAUGAUGAGCUUUUAGCAUUCUAGUUCUGGAGCUUUUUAACGAUCUAAUGAUGAGCUUUUUAGCAUUGUAAUGAUGACCUUCCAAAAAAUAAUAAGAAUUGGUUCAACUUGGGUAGACCACAAAACCCUCGGGCGAAACAUGAAUAUGUAUGGUAGAAUCAAUAAGUAUUUCAUGAAUAUGAUGGGGAAAUCAGUAAUGGUUGAACACCAAGAAAGGGAAAAGUGUGACUUAUUUCGUCAAGCACAUUGGACAAGAUAGUAUAUCAUAGUUGAUACAGCUGCUUUGUUCCAUAAGGCUUUUGAAAAUCCACUUGCGUUGCCCAUACAUCUGACUGAAUGUAUGACAGGGUGUCGGCUUGGCGCCAUUGAUAUGAUACUGCUACCACUACCCACGUAUGGCUUUUGGUAUCUCAUGGUGGCAAACUUCAAGAAAAAGGGCUGGACAUUGGUAUUUUUGUCAUGAAACUUAUCAAAAGCCAUGAUGGAGAUACUAUUUUAUGUUUUGAGCCAGAAAAGGCAAAGGCAUUACGGAAAAUUCUAACAUAUUACUUGAUUGCGCAUCCGUGCAAUGAGUGUUUAAUGACAGAGACAAAGGAAAUCUUUUCUAAGCAUAAUGUUCCUUUUGAUUACAAGACACCAGGUUAUUGCCCAUGGACAUGGGAAACAUUUUGUUGAAGUCAAACUUUUUGAGAAACAAAAGGGUCGGAGAUAGCACAUUGAGUUGUUAGACCUCGCAAAAAAAUAUUACUGAUAUAGGUUAAUAUAGCUUAGGAUUAAUGGCCAAACACAUUCAGAUCCCUUCUUUAUAUGUCAGAUUUUUAUUUCUUGCUCGGCUUUUCAGUAGAAACCAUCAAAUACUUUGCGUCUGUUUGUUUCUCUCAAAACAGCAGGAUUCAAACCUUCAUUCCACAAAAAAAAAAAUUGCAAGCUCAAUGAGCUAAUGUUAGAGCACAUUGUAAUCAAAUUCUUCGAUAUGAGAUUCGUGAUUCCUCCA
Brachypodium distachyon (stiff brome) is the source of this 3098-nucleotide RNA transcript. RefSeq lists it as uncharacterized. The transcript is spliced from 9 exons. The record is from RefSeq and is a predicted model, not a curated record. Lineage: Eukaryota; Viridiplantae; Streptophyta; Magnoliopsida; Poales; Poaceae.